AUGAGGAGAGCCCCAUGUGGGAUUACAGACUUGCUGGGAAUGGAUGAGAAACCUUCUGCUCUGCUGGAGUUUGUAUUGGGUCUCAGGUCCAGCUGCUGGGAUGCAAUAAACAGCAACAAUCCAAUUAUUGAGGAUAAAUAUAGGAGCCAGUUGGUUUGCCAAGUCAUCCUCCCCUCUCAAGGUAAGGAAGGGAAAAGAAAGCAGGAAACAUUGGAAAGAUACAUGGAGUCUUUCCUAUGAAGAGAGAUUUAGACCACUGAUUGACAUUCAUACCUGUGGAAGUGAAGUGUCAGUCCUGGAAGAACUGAAGGCAUUUACACACCAGGAAAUGGUUACCUCAAUUUACUGGAUCUGGAUUAAUUCCUAACCGUAAGUUCUUUCAGACAUUUUUUUUUGUUUUAUUUUUACUAUUGAAGAAAACUGAAAAGUGAAAUUCCAUUUAUAGAAUUCCACUUCAUAAUAAAUUUAGGAGAACAUGAAUGCCUU
RNAcentral lists this long non-coding RNA (486 nucleotides) under Ursus thibetanus thibetanus. RNAcentral describes it as "lncRNA (ENSUTTG00000001597.1)". The record is from RNAcentral. Lineage: Eukaryota; Metazoa; Chordata; Mammalia; Carnivora; Ursidae.